GAGGUGUCGGUCGUGGGGAGAGGUUGAAUGCUGCCCAAAGAGAGAGGAUGCGCUUGUUAACCACGGCAGCAUUUGAUCGAGGGAAAGGUGAAGAUACUUUUGGUCAAAGGGAUGAAGAUUGGCAACUCUACAAGCUAAUGAGUAGAGAUAAUGAUGACGACGACGAUGAUGAGCCAGAUCAGGAUGAAACGGAGUUGGCUCGCAUCUCCUCUAGGCUUCAGGUCAGUACAUUUCCUAUAAUGAGUAAAGAUAAUGAUGACGACGACGAUGAUGAGCCAGAUCAGGAUGAAGUUGAGUUGGCUCGAAUCUCCUCUAGGCUUCAGG
This 324-nucleotide long non-coding RNA is filed under the name Nicotiana benthamiana. RNAcentral's name for it is "long non-coding RNA (NBEN_LNC040360)". Lineage: Eukaryota; Viridiplantae; Streptophyta; Magnoliopsida; Solanales; Solanaceae. The record is from RNAcentral.